UACGGGGGGGGUAAGCGUUGUUCGGAAUUACUGGGCGUAAAGGGCUCGUAGGCGGCCAACUAAGUCGGACGUGAAAUCCCUCAGCUUAACUGGGGAACUGCGUCUGAUACUGGAUGGCUUGGAUUUGGGAGAGGGAUGCGGAAUUCCAGGUGUAGCGGUGAAAUGCGUAGAUAUCGUAAGGAAGACCAGUGGCGAAGGCGGGUCUCUGGACAGUUCCUGACGCUGAGGCACGAAGGUCAGGGGAGCAAACGGG
This 253-nucleotide ribosomal RNA is filed under the name uncultured bacterium. RNAcentral's name for it is "partial 16S ribosomal RNA". It matches the Rfam family "Bacterial small subunit ribosomal RNA", at positions 524 to 776 of the family's 1533-position model. The record is from RNAcentral.